This 1001-nucleotide ribosomal RNA is filed under the name Sorogena stoianovitchae. RNAcentral describes it as "SSU rRNA". It matches the Rfam family "Bacterial small subunit ribosomal RNA", at positions 524 to 1488 of the family's 1533-position model. Lineage: Eukaryota; Ciliophora; Colpodea; Sorogenida; Sorogenidae. The record is from RNAcentral.
CACAUGAGCGGUAAGCAUUAUCCGUAAUUAUUAGGCGUAUAGAAUGCGUAGACUUUUUAGGUAGUUUAGCUUUACUAAAUGAGUUUAUUCGGUAUGGAUGAAAACCCUAAAAUUGAGUUUUGGCAAAGUAACUAAUACUUAUGAACUAGCGAUAAAAUGCCGCGAGUUCUUAAAGAUUACCAGAAGCGAAAGCGAGUUACUGAAGUAAACUGACGUUGAUGCAUGAAAGUACAGGUAUCAACUAGGAUUAGAGACCCUAUUAGUCUGUACUGUAAACAAUGAGUAUUAAAUAACUAUAUUUCUAUGAUAUCGUUUUUUAAGCUAACGCGUAAAUACUCCGCCUGGGAAGUACAAUAACACUAUUGAAACUUAACAGAAUUGGCGGGAACUUGAUUGAACGGUGGAACAUGUGGUUUAAUGCGAUAAUCCGCGCAAAACCUUACCAAUGUCGUUAAAAAUCUAUGAUUUUUUUGAAAAAAUAUACAUAAAAAAUAUUAGAUUUAUACACGGUGCUGCAUGGCUGUCGUCAGUUCGUGUUGUGAGAUAUAGAAUUAAAUUUUCUAACGAACGCAACCCCAGGUACUAGUAUUAUAGUAUUUUAAUUAAAUAUUAUUAUUUUACAAUAGCUAUUACUAGUAUAUACGAUAUUUUAUCGUUUUUAUCGGGCUGAAGUCAAGUCUUUAUGGCCUUUAUAUAUUGGGCUACACACGUGUUACAAUGGUAGUGACAAAGUGUUACGAAAGUUUAAUCUGGAGUAAAUCACUAAAAUCUAUCUUAGUUCGGAAUGUUUUCUGAAAUUCGAAAACAUGAAGGUGAAAUCGUUAGUAAUCGUGAAUUAGUACGUCACGGUGAAUUAAAAAUUGAGUUCUGCACACACCGCCCAUCACGCUCGGAGAGUUGAUAUCAUGGAAGUUCAAAGAUUUUUAAUUUUUCUAUUAAUUUCGAAUUUUUAGGGAAAUUGGGUUAUAACGAAGCUGGUAUUAGUGAUCUGAGUGAAGUUG